GCGGUCAUGGCGAAAUGGUAGACGCGCAACGUUGAGGUCGUUGUGUCCGAAAGGACGUGGAAGUUCGAGUCUUCUUGACCGCACCA
RNAcentral lists this transfer RNA (86 nucleotides) under Sphingomonas arantia. RNAcentral's name for it is "tRNA-Leu". It matches the Rfam family "tRNA". From Rfam's summary of the family: Transfer RNA (tRNA) molecules are approximately 80 nucleotides in length. Their secondary structure includes four short double-helical elements and three loops (D, anti-codon, and T loops). The record is from RNAcentral. RNAcentral also lists the same sequence under 1 other name. Lineage: Bacteria; Pseudomonadati; Pseudomonadota; Alphaproteobacteria; Sphingomonadales; Sphingomonadaceae.